This is a non-coding RNA of Callithrix jacchus (white-tufted-ear marmoset), 7453 nucleotides long. The record is from RefSeq and is a predicted model, not a curated record. NCBI's taxonomy places the organism in Eukaryota, Metazoa, Chordata, Mammalia, Primates, Cebidae.
GUGAGAGAAAGUUUUACCUGGCGUCCAGCUUGUUCUUAGGAGGGACCGGCUGCUGCCUCAGGUUGAGGGUGGGUUCAGGUUCACGGCCCUGGGAUCCUGGGAGAACGAGAGUCUGGUUAACAAGUACUCCGUUCUGAUGCAUCAGUGAGUAUGUUGGUCAACCUAAUCAUUUGUGGGGCAAUGAGUGGGAAUUUGGAAGGUCUGUGUGUGGCCUUGUGUCAGGUCAACGAGGGAACAUCCUCAAGCCUUCUCUAAGUUAUAUGAGGAAGGGAAGUUCUUUGCUGUGUCAACUGAUAUUAAGCCUGUUAAGGCAGACAUAAUUUUAUAAAUGUUUUGUAAAUCAAAGAGUAUCUGGAACAAGUCUUAAUUUAGGAAUUUUAUUUUGCCAAGGUUGUGGAUGCACCCGUGACACAGCCUCAGGAGGUCCUGGUGACAUGUGGCCAAGGUGGUCAGGGCACAGGAGACAUUGGACAUCAAUCAGUACAUGUGAAAUGUACAUCGGUUCAGUCCAGAAAGGUGGGACCACUUGAAGUGAGGAGGGGCUUCCAGGUGUAUAUAUAAUAGGUAGGUAAGAGACAAAGGAUUGUAUCCUUUUGAGUUUCUGAUUAGCCUUUCCAAAGGACGUAGGUGUGCAUUUAACUCAGCAGAGGGAUGACUUUGAGUUCUGCCUGCCUUUGUCCACAAACUGUAAGGAAGGUAUGUAGUUUUUUGUUUUUAUUUUAAAUCUUAGUAGCUAUUUUUUUGGAAUAGAGUGGGAGGCACGAUGAGAUUUGAGGAACUCGGCGCAGAUAUUCUACUCAGGGACAGGAUGUCAGCCACAAAUCAUAAGACCUUCUCCAGGUGGUUAAUUUGGACCUGUAGGUCAUCAGCUAGAAGCCAUUUCCAGGACACAAAGGGUAGGAGAAUUGUUUUAAUUCACACUCCCAGGGAUCAGGUAAAAGUCACCACUGUCAACCAGUACACUUGAUGUUCUUCCUUUUAAUAACUAAUCAGGUUCUUUAAAGAAAGUUUCAGAUUGCUCAUACAAAAGGACAACUGGUAGCAAUGCCAUAAAGAAAGGGGGCAUUCGAUGGACUCAAAGAAAACAAAGCAAUGCUACUAGACCGGAGACAGUGGAAUCCAGCUGCAUUUAUGAGUUUGUCUUCAUUAAAUACUGGAGAUUAGUAAGUGUCAAAGGAGCCAUGAAGACAUCCUAGCACAGAGAGGGUCCACUGUGUGAUCUAAUCAGAAGAGCUGCAGGAAAGAAUAGCUUUGCAGUAUAUGAGUUAAUGUUUUUAAUGCUACACCCAUUCACCAACUAAAAUUAUCUCAGUGAUUCCCCACUUUGGAAAUCCCAAACAAUCCAUUAGGAUGCCAGUGAAAAUUUUCCCAUCAGUUUUUUAAAAACUAAACUUCAGUUUUUAGAACAGCUUUACACAUUCAGAAAAAUUGGUAAACUAAUACAGAGAGUUCUCAUAAACUCUGCACUCAGUUUCUUCUGUUAUUAAUAUUUUGUUAAUGUAUUUGUUGGGUACACGUUAUAAUGAAUGAAUGAAGUAGCUAUGUUACUAACUAAAGCCCAAGCAUUCUUCAGAUUUCCUGUUUUCACCUAAUGUCCUUUUGCCGUUCCAGGACAUUGAUCUAGGAUGCCUCCUCACACCCAGUUGUCCUGACUUCUUAGUCUCUCCUUGACUCACAGUUUCUCAGACUUUCUUGUUUUUGAUGACCUUGAUGGUUUUGAGGUAUUGUGGUAUUUUGUAGAAUAUCCUUCAACCAAGGUUUGUCCGAUGAUUUUCUUUUUUUAAAUAGAGAUGAGAUCUUGCUACGUUGCCCAGGCUGAUCUGGAACUCCUGGGUUCAAGUGAUCCUCCUGCCUCAGCUUCCCAAAGUGCUGGGAUUACAGGCAUCAGCGACUUUGCCCAAUCUGUCUGAUGAUUUUCUCAUGGUUAGACUACAGUUUGGGAUGGGGGAUAGUUUGGGGUUGGAAGAUCACAGAGGUAAAGAGCCCUUCUCAGCACUUCAUUAUCAAGGGUUCAAACUGUCAACUUGACUUCUCAUUGUUGAUGUUGGCCUUGGUCACCUGCCUCUGGUAAUGAUUGUCAGGUCUGUCCACUAUACAGUGACUCUGUCCUCCUUUCCACACCGUAUAGUUGGAGAGGCAGUCACUAUGCACAACGCACACCUAAGGGUGCAGCGUUACGCUCCCACUCCUCAAGGGCAGAUCAUCUAUGUAAAGCAUUGGAGUUUGGCGAAGGUAGUAUCUACUCCCCAUUUAUUUAUCCAAUUGUUUGUUUAUAAUAAUACAAACUCCCUCUUGACUUUUAAAUGCCCAGCCAGUCCUCUGCAUCCAGCCUGCCUUGUCUGAUUUUGUUUUUUGAUGUAUGUAUGAGUCCAUUUUCACACUGCUAUAAAGAUACUACCUGAGACUGGGUAAUUUACAAAAAAAGGACGUUUAAUUAACUCACAGAUCCGCAGGUCCGGGGAGGCCUCAAGAAAGUUACAAUCGUGGUGGAGGGAGAAGCAAGCACCUUCUUCACAGGCAGCAAGACAAAGAGACAAAGGAGGAAAUUCCAAACACUUACAAAACCAUCAGAUCUUGCAAGAACUCACCAUCACCACAAUAGCGUAGGGGAACCACCCCCAUGAUCCAAACACCUGCCCCGCUUGACGCCUUGGGAUUACAGGAUCCUCCCUCAAAACUUGAGGGUUAUAAACUGCGAUGAGAUUUGGGUGGGGACACAGAGCCAAACUCUAUCAAUAUAGGUUCUUGCUCUGUCACCCAGGCUAGAGUACAGUGGCAUAAUCAAGGGCUCAGCGCAGCCUCCACCUCCAGGGCUCAAACAAUCUUUCCACUUUCCACUUCAGCCUCCAGAGUAGCUGGGACUACAGGCAACACGCCACCAUACCCGGCUAAUUUUUGUAUUUUUUAUAGAGAUGAGGUUUUGCCAUGUUGCCCAGGCUGGUCUGGAACUCUAGGGCUCAAGUGAUCCGCCUGUCUUGGCCUCCCGAAGUGCCCGGAUGACAGGCCUGAGGCACGGCGCCCAGCCACAUGGCUGUGUGUGCUUUCUCCCCUGACCACCUCAUCUACUCUCACAACUACAAUGACAGCAACAGGGCAAGACCCCGAGCAUUUCCCCAGCAGCCUAAAGCUCCUCUGUUCUUUGGACUUGCAUGUUCAGCUGCCUCCUGCCGUGGCUACCCUUAACGCUCCGCAUGUUCCACACUGAACUGCUGCUGCAAUUCUCCUUCCUCCCCAAGACAUCGCCCCUGUGUUCAUGUAGAAACUUGGAAGUUUCCCUCCCAGCUUGCCACCCAGAUACUCCCCAAAUCUCUGUACCUCUCUUCACCCAUGCUGUUGCCUCCAAAGUGCUUCACGCUGGACUCCCACCUGUCCUGGCUUAGUGGCCUUGAAACUCACCUUAAAUCCCCCAGUGCUCCUUCUCCCUAGCAUCCCACUAUCUUCUCCCUAAUACUCCACUGUCGCCCCUGCACCCCGAUAUCCUUCUCCUGUACCCCGUUUCUCCCUCCUCUACACCCCACUACAGCAGAGCCACCUUUAAAAACACAAACUUUGGCCAGAAAGGUGGCUCACACCUGUAAUCCCAGCACUUUGGGAGGUUGAUGCCAGGAGUUCAAGACAAGCCUGGGCAACUUAGUGAAACCUUGUCUUUAUGAAAACUACAUUUAAAAACUAUUGAGGCAUGGUGGAGUGUGCCUGUAGCCCCAGUUACUUGGGAGGUUGAGGUAGGACGGCUUGAGCCCAGGAGUUUAAGGCUGCAAUGAGCUAUGAUGGUGCCACUGCACUCCAGCCUGGAUGACAGAGUGAGACCCUGUCUCAAAAAAUAAAUUAAGUAAAAAUACAAACCUGGUUACGCUACCUCCCUGCUGUCAUAGGCUCUCAAGGUACAUUCCAACAAGAUCUGUUGCCACUCUGUCCCUUGUUCCCAGAGCUUCAUGGGUCCUCCUCAAGUCCAGCCAUGGACAGCCCUGCCUACUCCUUUUCCCAUGCUGCCUUUUUUCCAUCUUCCACAUCUUCUUUUCAAAGUCACUUCUCUUGGAAGGCUUCUCUGACCCUACAGACUAUGGGAAAAUUCUGUUACAUUCUCUAUGUAUUCCUAAUCUGUAACUCUUAUCAAACUGGUUAUAUAAAGAUCAUUUAUUAGAGUUCAUUACUUUAUGGCUUUAAUUACUCUGUUAGUAUACAGCAGCUCCGCACACUGUGAAAUGUCCAGACUCUAGACAGGCUGCCUGAAUUGAAACCUUGGGUCUGCUGUGUAUCCCUAAGCAACUUCCUCUACCACUCUAUGCCCCAUCUGUAAAAUGGGCAUAAUGAUUGUGCCUCCUUUGCAGGUGAUCAUGAAGAUUCAGUGAGCUGCUAUGUGCCAAGCUCAUCCAAGAGGGCCUGAAAUUUCAGCAGCUGCCACGGGAGGUAAAUGGUGAAUAAUGCAAGUCUGUUCUUCCGAAUCAUAGAAAGACUCCCGAGUCUUUUUCUGCUGGCCUGAUCAUCAUCUACCAGAGGGAGGGCAGUUUGAGGAGCAUGUUGUCUGAGACCCCAAGCUGGAUGAGGUAAGCAGACAUAGUCAAAGAGGUCUCUGCCCUUGGUGGUCAACAGAGGAGAGAGUGGUGAGAAAGGAAUGCAUUGGAAAUCAUCUGCCCUCUUCUUCUCAACUGUAAUGCAGGUCUGCACUUACCAUCUCCGAGCCCCAACACUGCACACCUGGCUGUUACUGAAUCUAACUGGGAUCCACUCGUCCAGCGCAGUCAGGCCAAAUAUCCACACUGAGGUUUAUGUCAGGAGAAAGGAAGGUGUUUAUUUGCAGGAUGCCAAGCAAGGAGAAUCAGGCAGCUCACACUGAGUAUCUGUCUUCCACAGUGGCUUGCAAGUAAGGGUUUUUAAAGGCGAGGUGGCUGGUGCCAAGGCAAUGAGUUACCUCAACUGCUCAGUCAGUUACACAUCAAAUGCCUUGUUCUACUCAUCCCCCGCUUCUCACUACUGCAUUUGACUCGUCAUUUAAAAAAGAAAAGAAAAAAAAGAAGGAGAAACAUAAAGGCAGGGGUAAAUUUUAGGAAAGCAGAAAUUACAGGCAAAUUCAUGAAUUAAUACAUUGAAAUGAUGUCUUGGUUUAGCCUCAAAAGGGCAGGAUACUUUGAAGCAGAGGCUUACAGCUCAUAGGUAGAAUUCACAGAUUUUCUGAUUUGUAAUAGGUUAUAGAAGAGCAGCUUGGUUUAAAAUUCUGGGCCGGAGGAAGAGAAGGUUAGGUCUGGCCCUUGGGAAUGACUUCCUCCAGGGUCAGGAGGAAAUUUAAGACAACACCGGUCAGAGUUUAGUCCUCAGGCCUCGUUAUCUUAUCUGAGGUUUCUGUGCCAGUGAAUCCUUGCCCAGCAAGGAGCAUGCCUUUGACAAGAACUAACCCAUCCAGACCCGAACCUCCAGUGUCUGACCUGACCAACGUGUCCUCUGCCUUAUGCAUCCCAGAGUCUGGUGCCAGGCAAUGAGGAACCAUCUCUGUAACCCAAAGCCCACAGAAAUUUUUCAAACUAGUCAAUCCUAGACUAUUCACUUUGCUCUGCCUUGCCUCUGUCCAAGGAAACCCCAAAAAGACAGUGGCCCAAACCUUCUCCUUGCUCGUGUCCUCUGCCUCCUGCCACCUGGUCUUUCCUGUGUGGCCCUGUGUGGCCUGAGGUGCCUCCUGUCUCUAGGACCUGUAAGCAGAAUAAACUUUGUCUUUUCCUAAGACUCGUUUGUCUUCUCUUGUGGCUACACUUGACUGAUCACAUAAAAAAGUACAAAACAGCAGGUAUCCAACCUCACCAUGUUUUGACAAGGUGUAGCAAAACCAGUAACAUGAGCCAGGAUAGACGCAAACAUAGCAAGAUUUUUUUUAAAGCAGGUGAUGGGGAGAGGGUGGUUCUCCUGCCAUUUGGUUGUGUGAUUAGAAGACAGACCUUUGUCAUGGUUAUCAGCCUGCCUGUGAUAUUCCAAGAUGUGUGAGGUCAUCCCACUUGCAUGUAUUCCUGAGGAAUCUGCUUUCCCACACUUUUUAAGAAUUUUGCAUCUGCUCACAGGGAAUUUCUAUGGCUUCUCUGUACUUUGUUGAUUAUAUGUACAUUAAUCAUGGUGACCUGGUUAUAGGCUAUGGUUUCAAGAGAAGAUAAAGUUCCCAACUGGUAUUUGAUGGGCAAAAUAGGUAUAAAUGGACCCCAUGGGCUUUGCCCUUGAUGAGAGCCCAGUCCCUGCCAACCCUCCCCCAGAUGCUGGGCUGCUGAAAUUCUACUGGUUGCCCUCUAUAUGGGUCUGGGCUGCUGGAGGUACCUGGUCUUCCAGCGGUCCCCUCAACACUCCUUUUCCUGUGGCCAGUCUGCCCUAAGCAAGUUUUGUAACCUCUAGCCUUGUUGCAUGGAAUAGUAGUGGACACUGACCAUCACUUUUAAGACCAAACAGUAACAGUGUUUGUUGCUAAUAUUGUGUCUGGAGGCUGGGUGUGGUGGCUCAAACUUACAGUCCCAGCACUUUGGGAGGCCGUGGUGGGAGGAACUCAGAAGUUUAGGACCAGCCUGCACAAAACAGUGAGACCACCUCUUAGGAAAAAAAAAAAAAUGAGCUUGUUUGAUGGCAUUUCUGAAGUGCUAUAAUCAUCACUGAACUGCCUACAUAACUCUGCUAGCAGAAGUACUCGUGUCUGGUCCAAACUCUGCUUUUGGCAGAGGAAGGAAAACCAUCUCACCGAAGAGUGACUUGGACAAGAUCUCUGCCUUCUCUUCCCUUUGUGCCACAGUAUGAUUUAGGACUGAUAGGGACCCUCCCUCCAGUGGACUCAUCUUUUAAUUGUUUCUUCUUCUGAGGCAAGAGCUGGGGAGAUAGAGAAAACGGAAAAAUGGCUAACGUUAGGUUAAAGUUGUGGUGUGACCAGGAGUACAAUCUACCCUGUGUAUGAAACAGUUAUUUAUUCUUUCUUUUGGGGAGCAGCCAGAUCAGGUGACCAGAACUAGCUAAAGCCUACAGGUCCUAGAAAACAUCAGAUUUUCACCUUUCGGCUGUGCUUCACAUUUUACCUUUUUUUGAGAUGCGGUCUUGCUGUUGCCCAGGCUGCAGUACAGUGCGUUCCACCGUUCACAGCAACCUCUGUCUCUGAGUUCAAGGGAUCUUCCCCUGCCUCAGCCUCCCAAGUAGCUACAGGAAUGUGCCACCACAGCAGGCUAACUUUUCUAAUUUUUUUUUUUUUCCCAUACAGAUGGGGUCUCACUAUGUUGCUCAGGCUGGUCUCAAACUCCUGAGCUCAAGAAAUCCUUGUCUUGGCCUCCCAAAGUGUUGGGAUUACAGGAAUGAGCCACCAUGCCUGGCCACCUUUUACUUUUCAAAUGAAAAGCCUAACACGAAUAUUGAUUCAGCUAGUGAGUUUUUAUUAUGGACCUGUGGGUUUGUGGCAAUGCCAAGGGAUCAGAGGAAUGAAGAGGGAGGAUGUUGCUCAGAUGGG